UACGUAGGGUGCAAGCGUUGUCCGGAUUUAUUGGGCGUAAAGAGCUCGUAGGCGGUUUGUCGCGUCGGAUGUGAAAACCCAGGGCUCAACCCUGGGCCUGCAUUCGAUACGGGCAGACUAGAGUAUGGCAGGGGAGACUGGAAUUCCUGGUGUAGCGGUGAAAUGCGCAGAUAUCAGGAGGAGCACCGGUGGCGAAGGCGGGUCUCUGGGCAGUAACUGACGCUGAGGAGCGAAAGCGUGGGGAGCGAACAGG
This 253-nucleotide ribosomal RNA is filed under the name uncultured bacterium. RNAcentral's name for it is "partial 16S ribosomal RNA". It matches the Rfam family "Bacterial small subunit ribosomal RNA", at positions 524 to 776 of the family's 1533-position model. The record is from RNAcentral.